RNAcentral lists this ribosomal RNA (1122 nucleotides) under Triticum aestivum (bread wheat). RNAcentral's name for it is "partial small subunit ribosomal RNA". The record is from RNAcentral. Lineage: Eukaryota; Viridiplantae; Streptophyta; Magnoliopsida; Poales; Poaceae.
AUGGAUCCUGGAGCUCCGACUCCCGGCGUGCGCCAUCCGAGGAGGGGCGGCGCGGGUCCGGCGCGGUCUGGGAGUCUCGUCCCUCCGCCCGCCGCUUCGGCCGGGGGGCCCCGUCGCCGGGUUCACGCGUCAUGGGGGCGAGAGAGCAUGGGGAAGGGGAGAGCACGGGGUGAGGGAGAGCAAGAUGGAGGCGGCGCGGAGGAAGUGGGGAGAGGGGUCGAGGUCGAACCGGACGGGUCCAACCCUAAAAAGGGCACGUGGGCCUGGCCCAACACUGUGUGGCCUAGCAACGGGCCCACCUGGGCCCGAGCCACCACUGGGGCCCAAGAUGGCCCGGGGUCAACCCCCAGCCCCAAAGGCCCAGACGGCCCGAGCUGGCCCAACCCCUCAGCCAUCAGGAGAGGGGCGGGUAGGGUUUCCCGCAAGCGCACCGGCGCCACCGCCCGACCGCCGACAGGGGCCGCAGCCGCCGAGGGACGGAAAGAUCGAAACUUGGAUGUGCGGACAACGACAGCCGGAGAAGUGGCGGGAGCCAGCUGCAGCAGAGGGGACGAGGUGCCGGAGACCCGGAAGUCGCCAGCGGGGAGCGCCGCCACGACAUCGCCGCACGGCCGAGCUCCGACCUCCCGGCCACCUCCCAAGCUCGCGCUCGGGCCCCACGACCGCGGCGACCGGCGACCUGGCCAGUGCCUGACGGAGGUGGGGAAGGUGGUGCGGGACGGGCGAGCUGCCGCGUCCGCAAGGGGAGGGGAGGGAGACGGGGAGCAUGGGACGGGGUGGAAGCGAGCUCAUCAGCGGCGACGGCCGCAGCCAGCCGGUCGCCGAAGCGGCGAGGGCGCCGAGGGAGGCCCGACGCGAGGGCCGCGGCCUCGGCUCCGUCCUCGUCGUCUGCCCAGUCUGCCCAACAGAUCCGCGCCGGAGAGGAUAGGGCGGUGCCCGCCGGGGUCGGCGUCGAGGGGAGCGGGGACGGCAGGCCGGGAGGGGAGGGAAGGGAACGGGGAAGCGCCGGAGGCCGCAGGCCGCGCGCCGGCGAGGGGGAGGCCACCCGUGAGCGGCGACGCCGCGGUCGCCACGGGGGUCGCCGCAGCCAUCUCCGUGUUACUCGCCAUCGCACAUCAGUGA